GCAAAACCUAGUCCAAAAGCAAAAAAAUAUAAUCAUAGCCCCUAACUAAAACAAAACAUUUAUAACUCAACGAAAGUAUAGGAGAUAGAAAUCGCAAUUAGGCACUAUAGAAAUAGUACCGUAAGGGAAUGAUGAAAGAAAACAUUUAAAGCAAAAUAUAGCAAAGCUUACCCCUUGUACCUUUUGCAUAAUGAUUUAACUAGAAUCACUUAGCAAAGAGACCUUAAGUUAAACCUCCCGAAACCAGACGAGCUAUUCACAAGCAGCUUUAUAGAGCAAACUCAUCUAUGUGGCAAAAUAGUGAAAAGACUUAUGAAUAGAGGUGACAAGCCUACCGAGCCUGGUGAUAUCUGGUUGUCCAGAAAAGAAUUUAAGUUCAACUUUAAGCCUGCCAAAAACUAAACUAAUUCUAAAUGCAGACUUAAAAGAUAGUCUAAAGGGGGACAGCCCUUUAGACACAGGCUACAACCUUAUUUAGAGAGUAAAUAUAUAAACCAAACCAUAGUUGGCCUAAAAGCAGCCAUCAAUAAAGAAAGCGUUCAAGCUCAACAAUACAAACAUCUUAAUCCCAAUAAAAUAUAUCAACUCCUAAAAUUAAAACUGGACUAUUCUAUAAACAUAUAGAAGAGCUACUGUUAAUAUGAGUAACAAGAAUCAUUUCUCCUUGCACAAGUGUAUAUCAGAACGAAUCCCCACUGAUAAUUAACACCCAUAAAGUAAACUAUACAACAAGCCCUUUACUUUUCAACUGUUAGCCCAACACAGGAGUGCCCUCAAGGAAAGAUUAAAAGGAGUAAAAGGAACUCGGCAAACAUAGACCCCGCCUGUUUACCAAAAACAUCACCUCUAGCAUCCCAAGUAUUAGAGGCACUGCCUGCCCAGUGACAUACGUUCAACGGCCGCGGUAUCCUGACCGUGCAAAGGUAGCAUAAUCACUUGUUCUCUAAAUAAGGACUUGUAUGAAUGGCCACACGAGGGUCCUACUGUCUCUUACUCCCAAUCAGUGAAAUUGACCUUCCCGUGAAGAGGCGGGAAUGCCACAAUAAGACGAGAAGACCCUAUGGAGCUUUAAUUAAUUAACUUAAAAAUAAUAAUUACCAACGAAAGAAACAAAAUAUAUUUAACAUAAGUUAAUAAUUUAGGUUGGGGUGACCUCGGAGUACAAAAAACCCUCCAAGUAAUUAAAGCCUAGACUCACAAGUCAAAGCCACAACUACCACUGAUCCAAAACUUUUGAUCAACGGAACAAGUUACCCUAGGGAUAACAGCGCAAUCCUAUUUAAGAGUCCCUAUCGACAAUAGGGUUUACGACCUCGAUGUUGGAUCAGGACACCCCAAUGGUGCAGCAGCUAUUAAAGGUUCGUUUGUUCAACGAUUAAAGUCCUACGUGAUCUGAGUUCAGACCGGAGUAAUCCAGGUCGGUUUCUAUCUAUUUAAUGCCCUUCCCAGUACGAAAGGACAAGAAGGACAAGGCCUCCUUAAACCCUAAGCGCCUUCUAGCUUAACAGACGAAAUUUAUCUCAAUCUGAAAAGCUAUUAAAUACUCCCCUUAGAAAAAGGGUAC
Molecule: ribosomal RNA, 1564 nt
Filed under: Gardnerycteris crenulata
Lineage: Eukaryota; Metazoa; Chordata; Mammalia; Chiroptera; Phyllostomidae
Description: Gardnerycteris crenulatum 16S ribosomal RNA
Rfam family: Bacterial large subunit ribosomal RNA
Source: RNAcentral